GGGUGAUUAGCUCAGCUGGGAGAGCGCCACCCUUACAAGGUGGAUGUCGGCGGUUCGAUCCCGUCAUCACCCACCA
Molecule: transfer RNA, 76 nt
Filed under: Oleispira antarctica
Lineage: Bacteria; Pseudomonadati; Pseudomonadota; Gammaproteobacteria; Oceanospirillales; Oceanospirillaceae
Also listed under: 4 other names
Description: tRNA-Val
Rfam family: tRNA
About the family: Transfer RNA (tRNA) molecules are approximately 80 nucleotides in length. Their secondary structure includes four short double-helical elements and three loops (D, anti-codon, and T loops).
Source: RNAcentral